Molecule: ribosomal RNA, 764 nt
Filed under: uncultured bacterium
Lineage: Bacteria
Description: bacterial SSU rRNA
Rfam family: Bacterial small subunit ribosomal RNA
Source: RNAcentral
GCUGGCGGCGUGCCUAAUACAUGCAAGUCGAACGGUCUUUUCUAUGGAAGCUUGCUUCCACUGAGAAGAUAGUGGCGAACGGGUGAGUAACACGUGGGUAACCUGCCCAUAAGAGGGGGAUAACAUCCGGAAACGGGUGCUAAUACCGCAUAGUUUUCUUGAUCGCAUGAUUGAGAGAGGAAAGACGGCCUUUGUGCUGUCGCUUAUGGAUGGACCCGCGGCGUAUUAGUUAGUUGGUGAGGUAACGGCUCACCAAGACGAUGAUACGUAGCCGACCUGAGAGGGUGAUCGGCCACAUUGGGACUGAGACACGGCCCAAACUCCUACGGGAGGCAGCAGUAGGGAAUCUUCCGCAAUGGACGAAAGUCUGACGGAGCAACGCCGCGUGAGUGAAGAAGGUUUUCGGAUCGUAAAACUCUGUUGUCAGAGAAGAACAAGUUGGAGAGUAACUGCUCCAGCCUUGACGGUAUCUGACCAGAAAGCCACGGCUAACUACGUACCAGCAGCCGCGGUAAUACGUAGGUGGCAAGCGUUGUCCGGAUUUAUUGGGCGUAGAGCGAGCGCAGGCGGUUCCUUAAGUCUGAUGUGAAAGCCCACGGCUCAACCGUGGAAGGUCAUUGGAAACUGGGGAACUUGAGUGCAGAAGAGGAGAGUGGAAUUCCAUGUGUAGCGGUGAAAUGCGUAGAUAUAUGGAGGAACACCAGUGGCGAAGGCGACUCUCUGGUCUGUAACUGACGCUGAGGCUCGAAAGCGUGGGGAGCAAA